This is a long non-coding RNA of Gasterosteus aculeatus aculeatus (three-spined stickleback), 1904 nucleotides long. The record is from Ensembl. NCBI's taxonomy places the organism in Eukaryota, Metazoa, Chordata, Actinopteri, Perciformes, Gasterosteidae.
CCACACAGAAAGGCCACUGGGCGUAAUCAAACCCAGGACCUUCUUGCUGCGACAGUGCUAACCACCACGUCACCGUGCCGCCCCCUUAGUUAAGUCAUUUAAUGUAAUAAAACCAAAUUACCAGGGAAUUUGGUAUCGCUUAUUUAUUAUAAAACCUUCAGUGGGAGUCAUUAUAGUCAAAGAAAUAGUCAUAGUUAGUGAAGCAAUAUGUGUGUGAGAAAAAUGUGUACUUGACAGUGCUAUAAAAUCAUUAAACAGGACAUCACAUGCUAGCGUGGAGACUGAAUUGACAACAUACUCGUGUCAUGUAUUGUGUGGAGAUUGCCUCAAAAACAUUCAAACACAAACAUUCAGUAAAACCUAAAUAAAAUGGUGAAUCCAUUAAAAAAUAAUAAUAACAGUGGUUGCCAUAGCACCAGGACACCAUUGUCACAGAGAGAGAACCUUCCACGGAAACACCAAUUUAAAUAAAAACAAGUUGUCACAACCGUUUAUCCCUGACAGACCGUAUCAUUACAAGUUCAUCAGUUACUAACUGCAUUUGUACAAGAUCAUUGUAUACGUGUCUCCCAGCUAAUCGAUGCAGCGUGGUGGAAACAACAGGAGGCCCCGGGCCCCCCGGUACAACCAGGACCAAGCCAGGCGGCAGAAUUUUACUGUCAAAGCUUUCCCAGGUAUUCCACGUGAGGGUGUCCAAAACUACUCAGAGACCAACACAAAAAGUGAGCUUAUUCAACAACUGCAUGAGGUGACAGAGGAGCUGGCCCUUGAGAAGAGCCUGAAGGAGAUGGAGAAAGCCAGGCGUGAAGAAAUGGAGAGACUCUGGAGGGCUGGUGAACCAGAGACGAUGAACACCUUUGGGAUUGCCAGUGGGGUUUGCAGCACCCUCAAAACCAAGAAGGAGAAGGAACUUCAAAUGGAAUUUGAGAACCUGCAAAUGUCUCAUAUAAUCAGGGAGCAGAAAUUCUCAGCGGAGAUCCAGCUCGAGAGAGAGAGAAAUGCAGCUCUCCGUGAAGAACUUAAACAUCUUCAGACCAACUGGAGCCAUGAAGAGGAUUUAAAGAUGAAACUCAAGAUGUCCAAGGAUCUGGCAGCCAGAAAGCAGCUAAUGGUAACCAAGGAUGAUCUGCUUCGCCACAUGAAGGUGAAGAUCCAGACUCUGAAGGACAACGCCUCUGAGAUGGAGAAGACCUUUGUUAAAGACAUUGAGGACUUGAAACACCAACAGCUCUCAAGCAACCUGGAGCAUGACACCAAGCUCCACGCUGAGGAGGAGGUCAGUCAGGGCCUCAGAACGGAACUCUGCAGACUCCUAGAAGAGCAGGAGGAAAACAUCAAAAAGAAGGACGCUCUUGAAAAGGAGGUGGUGGCAUUGCAGGAAAACACCUCAGAGAAGGAGAAGACCUUUCUGAAAGACUUGGAGGACCUGAAACACCAACAGGUCUCAAGCAACCUGGAGCAUGCCACCAGGCUCCACGCUGAGGAGGAGGUCAGUCAGGGCCUCAGAACGGAACUCUGCAGACUCCUAGAAGAGCAGGAGGAAAACAUCAGAAAGAAGGAAGCUCUUGAAAAGGAGGUGGUGGCAUUGCAGGACAACAUCAACGUCAGCCACAAUCUCCAGACUGACCUUGAGGAGGUGAAAGAAGAGAACCGAGUCAAUACCAGGGAACAAGAGGAGUGUGCCGUCCACGACUCACCAACCAAGGCCUAAUGUGAUUGGAUGUACCACUGUUUCCCCUAAAGGAAUAAUAUAGAUAUAUAUAAAUACAUUUAAUUGAAAUGAAAGCUGUAAGGGUCCUUUCUACUCCGCAUGUCGGGGCACCGGCCGGACAGCUAGAAACGCAGCCAAGAACUCAGUAUCAUCUGGAGCAUUAUCAAGGUCUAAGGUUUUUUACGGGGUGGGG